This is a non-coding RNA of Paralichthys olivaceus (Japanese flounder), 840 nucleotides long. Lineage: Eukaryota; Metazoa; Chordata; Actinopteri; Pleuronectiformes; Paralichthyidae. The record is from RefSeq and is a predicted model, not a curated record.
GUACAUCACCCCCCAGACAGAUGAAAGAAAUGUAUGCCAGAGGAAUUGUGAGUUUAUUCCUCAGUGAUCCAUUGUCCAGGACCAGUUAUGAGCAUUAUUAUGAUGGCGAGAGUGGCACUGGGUACUUGGCCUGGAGGAUUAAAACUAUUCAGAGAUCCACUAUAGAGACAGACGAUCAUCAUAUGGAGCAUCAUCUGAAGGGGCAUCUCAUGAAGAUGGGCCUGGAGGACCAGCUGCCAGACGAGAGCCCCAGUUUGUUCCAGAGACUGUCCUGAGUGAAAAUGAGUCUAAGGAAGCAAUCACGAUUAAAAAUUCAGCUGAUCAAGAAGAAGAUGAAGCUGACAUUUGACUUCCGCCGCAACAUGGUCCUUGACCCACAGCAGUUGAGCAACGUACCGUCUGUCUUUCCACGUUUCAAAGACGUCAAAGGCUUGGUAAUUGAUUUUCAUUAUUUUGACAGUGUUCUGAAAAUUUCAUAAUUAUGUAAAAAGUAUGUGUGUAUUUUUGUGAAAGUCCAACAAUUAACACAAUUCAUCUGGCUGUGAAAUCUUGAAGUUCUCCACUAUACUCACCCUAGGUAGAACAGGAUUUUGUUCUGAUGUUUGGGGAGGAUGUGUCUGGCAAGUUUCUGGAGUAAUGGACAUGACCUGAUUCAGAUUUUUACUUAUUUCCCUUUUUUAAAUUUCACAUCUCCAUGUUGUACUUAAUUUUCCAGCUUUUUGAAAAAGUUUGGAUUCAUAUGACUAGGCAAAUAAAAUAUUUAUUGAUAACAAUAUUACGUUGUACACAGCUAGAUAGAUUGCCUAUACCCUUAAACCUCAGAGCCACACUAUGUCGACA